AGCUGUGAAUCCAUCCAGUCCUGGACUUUUCUUUCUGGGAGACUUUUUAUUAUCACUUCAAACUUGCUACUAGUUAUUGUUUUGUUCCAGUUUUCUAUUCCUUCCUGACUCAAUCUUGCAGAGUUGGCUGAGAAGGAGGGUGCCGAAGAAGGGGUUGAAGAAGGUGCUGAAGAAGGAGGACUAACGGUUGUCUGGCUCACUCUGCACUGAAGUAACCAAAGGGCUGGCUUAUUCAGCAGCAAUGCUGGGAGCAUCCUUGGGACUAGAAGAUUGAAAACUGUUACCUCUGUGGUCUCUGAGGCUGGGUUCAGACUAGAGCAAUUGUGCAGUGAAUUUGGCCCAUCUUGGGGACUUUGGCUCUCAAAUGGCAGGGACUGUUCAGACUAAACUAGAGGUUAUUUUACAAGGACCAUCAAAAUUCUCAUUUGCAUGUGUGAAAUUCCUGUGGAGAGGCUGGCUUUUUCAAUCAAGCUGGUUGGGCCAGAUUAUAAGUGGAGUCUGCUAGAGUGCAUGU
Molecule: long non-coding RNA, 514 nt
Filed under: Homo sapiens (human)
Lineage: Eukaryota; Metazoa; Chordata; Mammalia; Primates; Hominidae
Description: HSALNT0326946
Source: RNAcentral